GGGACGCGGCUUCCCCGAGGGUCCUGCGUCCCCCCCCGACGGUCCCCUUGCUCCUCCCUCCGCAGAGGCCGUUUCCCUCCCAACCUCGCACUCACCUGCUCGGGUCAGGGCCAGGGCCCCCGAGAGCAGCAGCAGGAGGAUCUGGGACGCCAUGACCCUGAACACUGGAUUCAGGGGAGACUGAGUUCUGGCAGGUUCGUUCGGACCUUACAGCCAGGAACCGAGGAGACACUGAUUGGCUACUGCAGAAACCAGACACUCAAUGGGAGUGAGAACUGGCGUCUCGUCAUGUGCGUCCGGGCAAAAAGAAGUGACACAGGUUGUGAGAGCGAGAAAGCGAGACUCCCGGGAGAUGGGGAAUCCUCAGCGCUGGGCUUUCUCACUGCGGACACCGCCCUCCGGGCCUGAGAGCCAAGCCCGGGUAUUAGGACUUUGUCCUGAUCCCUCUCCUCCUAUACCCACCACUCUGUCACACUAGCUCCCUGAGUCCUACCCUAGGCUGUCUGAGGAAACCGGGGAGAGACCCCCAGGCUGGGGCCAGGCCUUUUCUUCCUCUUCCCUUCUUGGAAUGCCUUUCGCUGAACUGGACUCCCUACCUCCCACCCGUUUCUUCUGCCCACUGGACUCCUCUAGAAGAAAAUUCACCCGCAAAGGACUUCAUGCCAGAGAUUCUGUAUGUCAGCUGUCCAGGCGUGGUGUGGAUGGAUUCUCUGAACAGGGUUUCGCAAACUUGUGCUCUCAUCUGGAACUCAGGAUUCUCCUCCAAGCUCCUACAGAGGUCAACUGAUUUGGACCUUUCUUACAUCUGCAAAAUCUCUUCACAGCAGCAGGUCCAUUGGUGUUUGAUUGAAUAACUAGGGGAAGAUGAAUAACCAGAAGAUCAAUUCAUAUCAUGGGGGCCAUCUUGGAAUCCGCUCAGCAUGGCCUGGUGUUUCCUUUUGUGUUUUUUUUGGUUACAAUUGGAAAUAGAAGUUCAAGUAAAUAGCUUGUUGUGAUUGGUAAUAAAAUACAAUCUGUUGACUUAGCCUUGAAAUUAUUCUUAAAUUUGAAAAUCAAGUAAUGAUACAUUUAAUGUCUCAUAGCUAAUUUAGAGCAAAUCAAAAUUAACAUGCAAUAAUUUCUUAUCGUCUUUGGACACAGUAUUAGUUAUCUGCUUUUGCCUAACAAAUUCCCCCAAACUUAGCAACUAAAGGCAAUAAACAUUUUUCUUCCAGUUUCCAAGGGUCAGUAAUCAGGGAAGUUUACCUGAGUGUUUGUGGUUCAGCGCCUCUCAAGAAAUUAUAGCCGAGACGUCGGCCAGGGCUGCAUCAUCUGAAGGCUUGGCUGGGGCUGGGGCUGCAGCAUCAGCAUCUGAUAUGGCUCACUCGUGGCUGUUGAGAGAGGCCUCAGUUCCUCAAUGGCUGGUCCCAGGAGGUGUAUGAUAUAGCAGCUGGCUUCCGCCAGAGCAAGUGAUCUGAGAGAGAGUCCAAGAUGGAAAUCACAAUGUGUUUUGUCUCCUAGACUCAGAGAUAAAACUCUAUUCCUAAGACCAGUCUACACUUAAGAGGAGAGAAUUAAGCUCCACCUUUUGAUGGGAAGAGGAUCAAAGAAUUAUAUGUUAAAACCAAAAUUAAAAUUAAGUAUCAUUUCAGGAUUUUGUAAAUCAAAUGCUGCUUUUUAUCUAAUUAUUGUUCUUUACUGCUUCAUGUUUAAAAAAAAGUAAUGAUUAAAAGUU
Long non-coding RNA from Trichechus manatus latirostris (Florida manatee), 1714 nucleotides. RefSeq lists it as uncharacterized. The transcript is spliced from 3 exons. NCBI's taxonomy places the organism in Eukaryota, Metazoa, Chordata, Mammalia, Sirenia, Trichechidae. The record is from RefSeq and is a predicted model, not a curated record.